This 179-nucleotide ribosomal RNA is filed under the name uncultured bacterium. RNAcentral describes it as "partial 16S ribosomal RNA". It matches the Rfam family "Bacterial small subunit ribosomal RNA", at positions 1305 to 1500 of the family's 1533-position model. The record is from RNAcentral.
CUGAAACUCGCCUCUUUGAAGUCGGAAUCGCUAGUAAUCGCAGAUCAGCAUGUUGCGGUGAAUACGUUUCCUGGUCUUGUACACACCGCCCGUCAAACCAUGAGAGUCGCCAACACCCGAAGUCCGCUUUGCGGCCUAAGGUGGGGGAGAUGAUUGGGGUUAAGUCGUAACAAGGUAAC